Molecule: long non-coding RNA, 2867 nt
Organism: Sparus aurata (gilthead seabream)
Lineage: Eukaryota; Metazoa; Chordata; Actinopteri; Spariformes; Sparidae
Source: Ensembl
AUUGUGCGGGGAAAACAAUGUCAGUUGCCUCCUCUUCCUGUUUGCGGCUUUGUGCCUUACCAUCUUGGCCAUGCAGCAAUUAGUCCAAAAUGAGGAGCAGCUGAGUUGGUCCGCCUCUCACAGCUGGGAGUUGAUAUGCAGUGGUCUGGAUCUGUGCUACCUGUUCCAACAGGGUGGCUGCAGCUUGAUCUACUGCUGGCUAUGGUGCUGCUGAAAAAGGCUUUACAAUGAGCCCUACAGAAUAUUUUAGGCUGCUGGUUCUUUGUCUUUGUCUGCUGGAUAGUGGCGUAAACUGUGAGGAUGCACAGAAAGGUUACGUUCUACAUGUCCAGGCAGGACAGACACCAAAGGGAGGCCACAGUGAUGAGAGAGACCACAAAAGAUGGAGCGAGCCAUCUAUUUCAAGAAUCCCCACAGCUGGUUUCAAGACAUCAAGUGUGGCCAGGGAGCAAAGUGGCAGCCAGCCUGCUCAAGAAGAUCACACCACUGACUCCGCACCACCACAAAUGCAAAGCUGGUAUCCUUAUCCCGUGCACAGAAAUGUUCCAAAAAGCCGAGUCAAGCUUUUAAAAAAAGGCUUCAGCUCUGCCAGAGUUGCACAAGUACGAAGUACUGUGGCGCACGACCGCUCUGGAACCAAAGCAUUCCCUUUUCCCUACGUCAAGAAGAUUGAUCAAGCAAUUUCUGAGUCUGUAUUCUCCACAGAAGCAGUUCAGGUUCCGCCCAAUUUCUAUCGUCUGUCGAAAACCAAGCUGACGGGAGGGUUUUCACCUCAGGUAAAGGAAGCACCAGUGGGCUUUGGACUGAGCAGAAGGGCCCUCAUCUAUUCACACGGCAGCGCAGAAAGUCCAAAUAUCAAAGCCAUCAAGUCCAGUCUGAAGUCCGAGUCUCACAAGACGCACAUAAACCCAUCCAGACCAAACGUAUUCCCUAUAAACCCACAUGGCUCGCAUCUCCCAACUAGGCCCGAGGUGAGUGGAAAUCCUGGCAGUAGUUCAGCAGGAAAAGAGGAGACUCCAGCAUGGGGUCCCAGGAGCCACAGCGGGGAUGUGACAUCUGAAGCAAGAGGAUACGCCCAUGUUCGCCACAUCAAGCCUAGUAAUGACAAAACACACCCCCAAGCUAGUUCUGCUGCAGGUAGAAAGUUCUUGGAAACUGGUUAUCCAUCUUUAAUACAAAAUCAGGGAAGACAUAGCCACGAUUCAAGUGAAAGACGGCAAAAUCUUAAUCACAAUACCCGAGGAAAACAGCCCAGCAGCUGGCAUCCUCCACCACCAGACAGAGCACCAAGCCAUGUCCAAGGCAAAUUCAAACCUUUCCAAAGACUUCCUACAAAUGAUCCCCCUCCUCACCACCACUCAGCAGAUGAAGAAACGGAGCCCACUAGGACAGCUGCAGGGACAACGCUGUCCCCUUGUUUGAACUCUACAGGUAUCAAUUCAUCAGUUGUCCCUUCAGUUGAUGGAGAGUUGGGCACCACGACUGCUUCACCCAUGCAGACGGAGAGCCAAGAUGGAGAGUCGACCACCAUGUCUGCUUCACCCAUGCAUACGGAGAGCCAAGAUGGAGAGUCGACCACCACGUCUGCUUCACCCAUGCAGACGGAGAGCCAAGAUGGAGAAUCAACCACCACGUCUGCUUCACCCAUGCAGACGGAGAGCCAAGAUGCAACGCUUGUACCUCAAACGUCAAACCAUGAUGGCCAGUCUGAAAGCUCAGCAGAAGUUGGAUCCUCCGGGGAACAGGACAAACCAUCAACAGUUUUUCCUCUGACUGUUCACCCAGCAGAAGAAGAAAAAGGUGACACAGCUGUCUCAAGUCCUUCGCAAAAAGAUCAGUCUGAAGUUUGAUGCCGUUUCGGCAAGCGUCAAUAUUGGUGGCAACACCAGCAAGAGGUACGCCUUUGUGGUGGAACCGAUGCAUUUUUUUUUUUUUUUAGCAAAAUCUCUGUAUUUGGAGCUGUGUCUGUUUGCAAAAAUGCAAAUUGGUUCUAGCUGUCAAUGUCUCAGUGGUGAAAUAACUUGUUUAAAAAUGUGGUCUGUUUUUCCCUGACAGGUUUUAAACCUGCUCUGAGCUCUGCUGCUUGUCCAAAGUGUCUGACUUUUGAAAAGAAUAUCAUUAAAGGUUUUUGCUCUGUCUUUACAAACUGGCUUUUGCUGUGGUAAAUUAAACAUCACAACUGAUCAGAAACGAGUUUGGAGGUUAAACAUAAGUUGGAUAUAGUCUGGAGUAUAUUUGUGAAAUGCUUAUUACAAUUUUUGUCUGAGCAUUAACUGUUAAUAGACUUCAGACAUUUGUCCACAUUUUGACAUUGUGAUAAAUGUGUUAUCACAGCAGCUGUUAAACUAGGCUUUUUUUUUUUUUUAUACACAUAGCGUUUGUAAGCAGUGGAAGAAGUGUUGAAAUUAUUCUCGUACAAGUGAAAGGUCCUGCAUACAAAAUCAGAAGUAUAUCAGCUAACUUUUAACUUUAGAAUCAAAAGCACUCGAUAUGCAGAAUAAAGGUCCCUGUCAGUGUUUUACUAUGAAACUGGAUGCUUUAGGAUAUUUCUGGUGCAUAAUGUGUGUGAUGCAUUUUACUGCUGCAGAUCACCAUUACUCAAAAAUUAGUUGGUGAUAUUUUAGUGUGUCGCAUGAUAUUUUAUUCUGUGACAUAUCUGACUUUUUGUUUUGUGAAUAUUCCCCCCCCCCCCCCAAAAAAAAAACCAAAAACCAAAAACAAACAAUGCAACACACUUAAAUGGACUUUUAUUGCAUAUCCAUGCACAUGCAUGUCAUUUUGGGUGGUGUAUACCUCAAAAUGAAUAAGAGCAUCUUCAAAUAAAAACAUUUAGGCCUAAUUUUAUUGGCAUUUGUUCUUCAUCAAAC